RNAcentral lists this ribosomal RNA (1061 nucleotides) under Microthecium fimicola. RNAcentral's name for it is "SSU rRNA". It matches the Rfam family "Eukaryotic small subunit ribosomal RNA", at positions 1 to 1115 of the family's 1831-position model. The record is from RNAcentral. Lineage: Eukaryota; Fungi; Ascomycota; Sordariomycetes; Coronophorales; Ceratostomataceae.
UUUUAGUCAUAUGCUUGUCUCAAAGAUUAAGCCAUGCAUGUCUAAGUAUAAGCAAUUAUACAGCGAAACUGCGAAUGGCUCAUUAUAUAAGUUAUCGUUUAUUUGAUAGUGCCUUACUACUUGGAUAACCGUGGUAAUUCUAGAGCUAAUACAUGCUGAAAGCCCCGACUCACGGAGGGGCGUAUUUAUUAGAUUAAAAACCAAUGCCCUUCGGGGCUCCUUGGUGAUUCAUGAUAACUUCUCGAAUCGCACGGCCUUGCGCCGGCGAUGGUUCAUUCAAAUUUCUUCCCUAUCAACUUUCGAUGUUUGGGUAGUGGCCAAACAUGGUGGCAACGGGUAACGGAGGGUUAGGGCUCGACCCCGGAGAAGGAGCCUGAGAAACGGCUCCUACAUCCAAGGAAGGCAGCAGGCGCGCAAAUUACCCAAUCCCGACUCGGGGAGUAGUGACAAUAAAUACUGAUGCAGGGCUCUUUAGGGUCUUGCAAUUGGAAUGAGUACAAUUUAAAUCCCUUAAGGAGGAACAAUAGGAGGAGCGUUACUCAGCUCCAUAGCGUAUAUUAAAGUUGUUGUGGUUAAAAAGCUCGUAGUUGAACCUUGGGCCUGGCCGUCCGGUCCGCCUCACCGCGUGCACUGGCACGGCCGGGCCUUCCCACCGCGGAAUCGCAUGCCCUUUACUGGGCGUGUCGGGGAAGCGGUACUUUUACUGUGAAAAAAUUAGAGUGCUCUAAGCAGGCCUAUGCUCGAAUACAUUAGCAUGGAAUAAUAGAAUAGGACAGGCGUUCUAUUUUGUUGGUUUCUAGGACGUCUGUAAUGAUUAACAGAAACAAUCGGGGGCGUCAGUAUUGCAUCGUCAGAGGUGAAAUUCUUAGAUCGACGCAAGACUAACUACUGCGAAAGCAUUCGCCAAGGGUGUUUUCAUUAAUCAGGAACGAAAGUUAGGGGAUCGAAGACGAUCAGAUACCGUCGUAGUCUUAACCAUAAACUAUGCCGACUAGGGAUCGGGCGGUGUUAAUUUUUGACCCGCUCGGCACCUUACGAGAAAUCUUAAGUGCUUGGGCUCC